UACGAAGGGAGCUAGCGUUGUCCGGAAUUAUUGGGCGUAAAGAGCUCGUAGGCGGUGUGUCGCGUCGGCCGUGAAAACCUGCAGCUUAACUGUGGGCUUGCGGUCGAUACGGGCAUCACUGGAGUUCGGCAGGGGAGACUGGAAUUCCUGGUGUAGCGGUGAAAUGCGCAGAUAUCAGGAGGAACACCGGUGGCGAAGGCGGGUCUCUGGGCCGAUACUGACGCUGAGGAGCGAAAGCGUGGGGAGCGAACAGG
This 254-nucleotide ribosomal RNA is filed under the name uncultured bacterium. RNAcentral's name for it is "partial 16S ribosomal RNA". It matches the Rfam family "Bacterial small subunit ribosomal RNA", at positions 524 to 776 of the family's 1533-position model. The record is from RNAcentral.